This 1194-nucleotide ribosomal RNA is filed under the name uncultured dinoflagellate. Its description in RNAcentral is "bacterial SSU rRNA". It matches the Rfam family "Eukaryotic small subunit ribosomal RNA", at positions 577 to 1804 of the family's 1831-position model. Lineage: Eukaryota; Dinophyceae. The record is from RNAcentral.
CGGUAAUUCCAGCUCCAAUAGCGUAUAUUAAAGUUGUUGCGGUAAAAAAGCUCGUAGUUGGAUUUCUGUUGGGGGAGCGCAGUUCAGACCUUGUCUGAAAUUGGUCUCUCCUCGGCAUCCUCUCGCACCCUUGGUGCGCUUAAUUGCGCGUCAGGACGUCGAGACUUUUACUUUGAGGAAAUUAGAGUGUUCACAGCAAGCUUAUGCAGGAAUACACUAGCAUGGAAUAAUACUAUAGGAUCUUGAUUUCUAUUUUUGGUUUCUAGGAUUGAGAUAAUGAUUAAUAGGGGCAUUUGGGGGCAUCUGUAUCGCUGCGUCAGAGGUGGAAUUCUUGGAUUGCAGCACGACAGACUACUGCGAAAGCAUUUGCCCAGGAUGUUUUCAUUGAUCAAGAACGAAAGUAAGGGGAUCGAAGACGAUUAGAUACCGUCGUAGUCUUUACCAUAAACUAUGCCAACUAAGGAUGGGGUAACGUUAACUUAUGACUUGCUCCGCACUUUAUGAGAUAUCAAAGUUUUUGGGUUCCGGGGGGAGUAUGGUCGCAAGACUGAAACUUAAAGGAAUUGACGGAAGGGCACCACCAGGAGUGGAGCCUGCGGCUUAAUUUGACUCAACACGGGGAAACUCACCAGGUCCAGACAUAAUAAGGAUUGACAGAUUGAUAGCUCUUUCUUGAUUUUAUGGGUGGUGGUGCAUGGCCGUUCUUAGUUCGUGGAGUGAUUUGUCUGCUUAAUUGCGUUAACGGACGAGACCUUAACCUGCUAAAUAGUGAGGCCUAUUCUCGCGAUAGACUUUUCGCUUCUUAGAGGGACUUUGCGCGUUUCAGCGCAAGGAAGUUUGAGGCUAAAACAGGUCUGUGAUGCCCUUAGAUGUUCUGGGCUGCACGCGCGCUACACUGAUGCGUUCAACGAGUGUACAACCUUGCCCGAUAGGGUUGGGUAAUCUUUUGAACACGCAUCGUGAUGGGGAUAGAUUAUUGCAAUUAUUAAUCUUCAACGAGGAAUUCCUAGUAAUGAUGGUUCAUCAGACCAUCGUGAUUACGUCCCUGCCCUUUGUACACACCGCCCGUCGCUCCUACCGAUUGAACAAUCCGGUGAAACCUCUGGACGCGUCUUAGUGGGGUCCCCUCACUCUGAUACGGAAGGAGUUUAAACCUUAUUGUUUAGAGGAAGGAGAAGUCGUAACAAGGUAACC